Non-coding RNA from Coturnix japonica (Japanese quail), 3543 nucleotides. Lineage: Eukaryota; Metazoa; Chordata; Aves; Galliformes; Phasianidae. The record is from RefSeq and is a predicted model, not a curated record.
GCCCCGCCCGCAAUGAGGGGAGCGGCCCGUCCCAGCGCCGUGCUACCGCCCGCUGUGUGCGCAGGAUACCGGGCCCAGAGCGGGGUGUGCAGCUCCGAACUGACGGGGCUGAGAGAAAGAAACGUAUUCAGCUCUCCCGUCGGAAGGGAAUGGCAGCAGCACCUCCGCUCAUCAGCCCUUAGCGGGUUUCCCACAGCCCACCUCACAGCUCCGCUCCGUGGGACGGCCUUCGCCUUUGGGAGCUCACCCAGACACAGCAGGACCCGGAGCUGUGCUCCAUCCCAGCGCUGUGACCUGUGACCGGCAUUGCCCUGCACAGCCCGGCCGUGUCAGCUCUGCGUUCCACCGGAUUCUGACUGCCCAGCAACCUGCCCUGUCCGUCAGAGCACAGACAGACCCGCUACAGAUAGAGACAACGGGCCAUAGGGGAGAUGGGACCUCAAACACACAGCAAGGAGAGACCGCGGGAAUGAGGACAGAGCUCUGACCCAACAACCCCCCCCAACCGCUGCUGUACUUCAGUGUUACUUGGAAGGGAGGUCACAGUGAGAGCACAAAAGAUAAAUAAGAUGAAAACACUGAGCCCCACCUGUGUUCUUUGUAUUAGGUGCAGCUGUACGACCUUCACAAUUAAACCAAGGUUGAUACAUUGGGAGGCACUGAAAGUUGACAAGAAACCUGGUUGUAGUGUAGAUACAUCGAUAGCUUCAUUGUUACACCAAGAAGCAUCUCCUGCAUCGUGCAUCUAAUGAAAUCUGGCCCCAGUUUCACUUGCCUUGUCCUAUAAGGGAGAUUCCUCUGGAACAUCACGUAGGUGUCUUCAACAGCUCGCAGAAAUUCUCUCAGAGGCUUCAAACCAUCACCUGAGAACUGAGCUGAUGUUCAGAAGAGCCCACAGCUCUCAUCUGGCUUUAAUUUCAGCCAGAGCUCAAUUCCUAAAAAGUGCUGCACAUCUAAAAAUGCUAAUCCUGUUUCUUAAGGAAAAAUCCCACAGGUGUUUCUUCCUCAAAUCUAUUGAGGAAACAACUCUUGUUGUACCAGGAACUCAAGGACAGCUAUUCUGUAACACUGUCUAGGGAUGUUGAUACACUACCCAAGUGUACCUCCUUUAUUGGAAGCAACAUUAUUCUCCAAUAAAAUAAACCAAACCCAACUGAAAUCUGUUGUUUUGACAACAUCAGAAACAAAAAGUACGAGCCCAAAUUUUAAAGCAAGUAUGUCUGAAACGGGUAGAAGCUUUGUCAUUAUUUUUCACACCAGUUGGUAAUAAGCUUCAGUGCCUGCUGUGUUCAGACACACCUAGAGCUGAAUCUGUGAGGGGUGUCUCACUACUAGAGGAAUGAUCCAACAACACAGUCAGUCCAACUCCACUUUUAGUUGAAAUACAUCCAUCCUGCUCACACACUAUACACGAUCCCCCAGUCUGCUCUUUCCAACCCCCAGGAUGCCCCCAGCCAUCAAACAAACACAUUACUGCAGGUUCAGCUGCCUGAUGAAUGUGGUCACUUCCUGGGAGCACAGUGACUGAACGCUAAGCUCCUCCGAGGGCAGUUUUGUGCAACUAAUUUAAUUAGAUUUGGCCAUAAUGCUGUAUUUAUCUGGUUUGUUUUUGCCUGACAACUGAUGUCUCUCCCCAUUAAUAUUAGGAUACUAAUGACGGUAUUCCUUUGCAUUGCCUUGGCAGAGCAUCUGGAUGUUGCUACUCCCAUUGGGCACCUCUGUUAGUCAGAGAUGCAGGGUACAGACAGUAUUAAUAUGGCUUGCUUACCAUGCUAACUGCGUAGAUAUACCAUGUGGAUCUUGAAAUUGCACAAGGCCCAGUACCUAAUUCACAGCACGUCAUAAUAAAAGCAGUCAGAUUUUGCCCAGCAUCUUGAUUUCUUGGAAACUGCCGGUUCAGGUUAACAGCCUACAGCGAUGCAAACCUUAGCUCCCAGAAAUCCCCUUCCAUCAGUAUAAGGGACCAAAACAAUCACCUGUUACGGAGUUUUCAAACAAUAAGCUUUAAUUGCCUUAUUAGAAAAAUAAGCACUGAAAUAUAUAUAAAUGUGAUUACAUUAAAGUAAUUCUGUAGUCUAACAUACUAGGAAACCAAAACCCAGUCAUAUUUUUCAUGGUACAGAGUAGCAAGAUUUAGGGUUUAGAAACUUUCCAUAGAGAACAGGGAUGUAUGCAGGAUCAUUUAGGAAACCACAGUAAAGACGAGACAAAUCUCCACAUUGCAAUAAAAACUAAGUAGAUCAAUUUAUUCUGUAUACUAUACAAUGUGUAAGUUUGUAAAGAACAGUUGACAUUUUUAUCACCUUAACAUCUCGACUGGGUGUAAUUAUGUCCAACAAAAUGUACUCCUGUGGCUUUUAUACAAACACUGUCCUACUACGUCAAGAACAAUGAGAGGGAAGCCUUUGGUGCUACAAAUUUGGGGAUGUAUCUGCGAGGUCGGAAUUAAUUCACUUUCAACCAUCUUGAAUAAAAUGUUGGUGCUACCUGCUAUGAUAAGCCUAGAUGAGAACUAGUCUAAUAACGAAACACUGUCUAACUUUAAAGGCAAAAUAUGAAAGGGACUGCCAGUCUACAGUGUGGGCAGGUCUUCUUUGUAAAAGGUCAUUAUCAAAUGGUAAAACUCAUAUAAUACAUUAUGUACAUACGUUUGGAUAGCUGUGUUAUCUUGCUGAAGUAAGCUGAAAGUAAGCAUCGAUCUGUAGUCACAUUUGCUUUACUGUUACAUGAUUAUUGGAUUUCCAGAGUUUUAAAUGGUGUUUAGAGUCAAAACAGCUGUGCCUGCUGCUUGAGCUCGGUCAGAUAGAAAGGCUCGUAACCAGUCACCGAACUCGUUAGUUUUACAGUACUUCAAAUAAUCUUUUUCUAGCUGAAUUUGUAGUAACCUUAAGAACUGCAAGUCACUGAGUGAGCAGCGGAAGAGCUUGAGUUAUCCAACCAGCAGGACAAGCUGAUCUGUAGCUACGUGAGAGGAAUGUUUCAAUUGACAUGGCUGUUUUUUUCAACCUUCCCAAGCAUCAAGAAAGCUCACCUGGAGUGAGCUACAGAGUAAUGGAACCAGGCAGUACAAAGCAAGUCUCCUUCAGUUGUUCACGUGUGUUUCAGGCCCAGUCCUAUGGUUCAGUUUUGAUUUUCAUUCGCACAUAAAACAAUAAAGAGGGAUUUUCACAUUAGGACAAACAUCUACAGAAAGCACUCUGUUUCAAUAUAUCCAGUUUGCUUCUUAUUUUUCCAGCCUAACUUCUUGCUUAAACCCAGUCAGCCCAUCCCUUCAACCUGUUCCGUGAAAAAUCACAAGUUCUUUACAGUGCCAGUAAAAGAUAUGGAAUUAAAGGGCUUUCUCUAAUUACAAGCAAAGGGCCACAAAGACUUGAUUAGAAUCAAGUUAGCAAUUUCAAAAAUUCUCUAGAAUGACUCCUUUAAACUGAAGAGUGUACAUUAUACAGAUACUGCAGUGCUUCACUCAGAUUCUAAUCAAAGCAGGACCAAAUUAAGAUUAUUCACCUCAUCUUGAUCAUUUUCUUGUAUUUAACAUUAGGAAAG